GACGAGGGGUCCUAGCGUUGUUCGGAAUCACUGGGCGUAAAGCGUAUGUAGGCGGGCUUCUAAGUCGGGUGUGAAAUCCCAUGGCUCAACCAUGGAAUUGCAUUCGAAACUGGAAGUCUUGAGUGUGGGAGAGAUUGGUAGAAUACCUGGUGUAGUGGUGAAAUACGUAGAUAUCAGGUGGAAUACCGGUGGCGAAGGCGGCCAAUUGGCCCAACACUGACGCUGAGGCACGAAAGCGUGGGGAGCAAACAGG
This 253-nucleotide ribosomal RNA is filed under the name uncultured bacterium. RNAcentral's name for it is "partial 16S ribosomal RNA". It matches the Rfam family "Bacterial small subunit ribosomal RNA", at positions 524 to 776 of the family's 1533-position model. The record is from RNAcentral.